AUCCGACUGAUGAGUCCCAAAUAGGACGAAACACGCGCCCUGGAU
RNAcentral lists this non-coding RNA (45 nucleotides) under Schistosoma mansoni. The record is from RNAcentral. Lineage: Eukaryota; Metazoa; Platyhelminthes; Trematoda; Strigeidida; Schistosomatidae.